RNAcentral lists this ribosomal RNA (253 nucleotides) under uncultured bacterium. RNAcentral's name for it is "partial 16S ribosomal RNA". It matches the Rfam family "Bacterial small subunit ribosomal RNA", at positions 524 to 776 of the family's 1533-position model. The record is from RNAcentral.
UACGUAGGGUGCAACGUUUAAUCGGAAUUACUGGGCGUAAAGCGCACGUAGGCGGCUUUGUAAGUUAGAGGUGAAAGCCCGGAGCUCAACUCCGGAAUUGCCUUUAAGACUGCAUCGCUUGAAUCAUGGAGAGGUGAGUGGAAUUCCGAGUGUAGAGGUGAAAUUCGUAGAUAUUCGGAAGAACACCAGUGGCGAAGGCGACUCACUGGACAUGUAUUGACGCUGAGGUGCGAAAGCGUGGGGAGCAAACAGG